Molecule: long non-coding RNA, 1285 nt
Organism: Hypanus sabinus (Atlantic stingray)
Lineage: Eukaryota; Metazoa; Chordata; Chondrichthyes; Myliobatiformes; Dasyatidae
Exons: 3
Source: RefSeq, a predicted model, not a curated record
UGAAAGUUCAGAGAAACUUACAAACAGCUGGAAAAUCUCAGCAUGUCAGGCAGUUGUGGAGAGACUUCUCAGGCCGAGUCCUAACCGGAAGACCACAAUCUGUGCGGAUUGGUGAUCAACACUGGUGCACCUCAGGAGUGUGUGCUUAGCCCACUGCUCUACUCUCUAUAUAUACCCAUGACUGUGUGACUAGGCAUAGCUCAAAUACCGUCUAUAAAUUUGCUGACGAUACACUCAUUGUGGGUAGAAUCUCAGGUGAUAAUGAGAGGGAGUGAGAUAUGUCAGCUACUGGAGUGGUGCCGCAGCAACAACCCGGCACUCAAUGUCAGUAAGACGAAAGAGUUGAUUGUGGACUUCAGGAAGGGUAACACGAAGGAACACAUACCAAUCCUCAUAGAGGAGAGAGUGAGCAGCUUCAAGUUCCUGGGUGUCAAGAUCUCUGAGGAUCUAACCUGGUCUCAACAUAUUGAUGCAGCUAUAAAGAAGGCAAUAGGAGUUUGAAGAGAUUUUGUCCUGAAAAGGAUCUCAGCUGAAACGUCCAGUUUUACUCUUUUCCAUUGAUGCUGCCCGACCUGCUGAGUUUCUCCAGCAAUUUGUGUGUGUGUGUGUUGCUAAGGAGUACAGAGUUCUUCUCUAUAAGAUGUUGGAACAGAGAACAGGACCCACAAUGUCAAGAUAUUCCCUCUGGCGUCCUUGAUGAGGUCCCCUCUCAACCCCUGGCUCUUCAGAGAAGACACCACAAAUUGGUCCAACCUCAUGCCCUCUAAUCCAGGCAGCAUCCGCAUCUGAACCCUCUCUGAUGCCUCCACACUUUUCCUGUACUGGGGUGACCACAACUGAAUGCAAUACUCCAGGUAUUGGGUGAUGGAUGGAGUGGAGAUACGUCCCUACCAAAGGAGGUGUAAGGUGCUCCUUCCUUCCGCCAGCCUGCAGGUCACCCGUCUUGUAAAGACACUACCCAAAAGAAGGCAAAGGAAAACCACUUCUGUCGAAAAAUUUGCCAAGAAGCAUCAUGGCCAUGGAAAGACCACGAUCAUACGACACGGCGUGUAAUGAUGACAUAUGGCACGGCACAUAAUGAUGAUGCAUAAACAAAGACUGACAACAACCAAUGUGUAAAAGAAGGCAAAUAAGAAAUAAAUAAUACUGAGAGUGUGAGGUGUGGAAUCCUUGAAAAUGAGUCUGUCAGAUGUGGAAUCAGUUCAGAGUUGAGGUGAGUGAAGUUAUCCACACUUGUUCAGGAGCCUGAUGGUUGUGGGGUAAUAACUGUUCCCGAACCUGGUGG